GGCCCCAUCGUCUAGCGGUCAGGACGUAGCCCUCUCAAGGCUAAGACCGGGGUUCGAGUCCCCGUGGGGUCACCA
RNAcentral lists this transfer RNA (75 nucleotides) under Planctomycetota bacterium. Its description in RNAcentral is "tRNA-Glu". It matches the Rfam family "tRNA". From Rfam's summary of the family: Transfer RNA (tRNA) molecules are approximately 80 nucleotides in length. Their secondary structure includes four short double-helical elements and three loops (D, anti-codon, and T loops). Lineage: Bacteria; Pseudomonadati; Planctomycetota. The record is from RNAcentral. RNAcentral also lists the same sequence under 1 other name.